RNAcentral lists this unclassified non-coding RNA (1872 nucleotides) under Stegodyphus dumicola. RNAcentral describes it as "protein-L-isoaspartate(D-aspartate) O- methyltransferase-like, transcript variant X2". The record is from RNAcentral. Lineage: Eukaryota; Metazoa; Arthropoda; Arachnida; Araneae; Eresidae.
GGCCUUCAUGAACAUGAGAAAAAACUUUCGUCGAAGCAACUCGAAACAUCUAAACUCAGUCGCGGCAAAUUGUGGGUGAAUGUUUUAUAUUGUAUUUGCAUUUUAUGAUAAAUAUUUCUUAAAUUGCUUUGAAAUUCAUAAAUUUGAGAUGUAGAUGUUUCCCAAACACAGCUUCCUUAUCUUUCGUGCUGCACUCUUGAAUAUAUUAUUCCCUUUACACAUGGCGUGGAGGUCACAUGGAAAAAGUAAUGCAGAGCUUAUACAGAAUUUAAAACGAAAUGGAAUUAUCAAGGAUCCAAAAGUUGAGCAAGUGAUGUUAGCUGUAGAUAGAGUAAAUUAUUGCAAGAAUAAUCCUUAUUGGGAUUCGCCUCAAGGAAUAGGUUAUGCAGUUACAAUAAGUGCACCCCAUAUGCAUGCUUAUGCUCUAGAGUUACUGAAGGAUAACUUGUAUGAAGGAGCAAAAGCAUUAGAUGUUGGUUCAGGAAGUGGUUAUCUUACUGCUUGCUUAGCUCUUAUGGUAGGUGAAACAGGCAAAGCUAUUGGAAUUGAUCACAUAGAAAACUUAGUCAAUAUGUCCAUAGAAAAUGUUAAAAAGGAUCAACCUGGUCUUAUUGAAAGUGGUAGGAUAAAACUAGUAGUUGGAGAUGGCAGACAAGGAUACAAAGAGGAAGCUCCAUAUGAUGCUAUCCAUGUAGGAGCUGCAGCCCCAGAGUUACCUCAAGAGUUGGUAAAUCAGUUAAAACCUGGAGGCAAACUCAUUGUUCCUGUUGGCCGAGAAGGACAGAAUCAAAUGCUGGAGCAAGUUGAGAAGUUGCCUGAUGGCAGUGUGAGGAAAACAAGUCUGAUGGGUGUUGUAUAUGUGCCCUUAACGGACAAAGAAGCACAGUGGCCUGGAAGACUGCUGUCCAGAAUUCUUCAUAGGAAAAAAUCUUCACCCUAAUAUUGUGAAGCAGCUUCCUUUGCCUACAGAUUUCAGUUUGUUCUUCUUUUGAUCUAAAAAUUAGGAGAGGAACAAAUGAGCUUUAGCAGCUUACUGUUCUUGCCAGCUAUGAUUGUUCUCUUUGGCUAUCCUGCAAAAUCCCAGAGAUAUUAACCAGGCAAUUUGUGCUGCUUAGGAUUUGAAGUAGAUUGAUCUAUGCAGAAAACUAUAUGCCAUAUCCAAAAACCUAUUUCAUAUUGCCUAAGCAAAUUCUGAUAUGUUUCACUGCAACUCUCCAAUCAAGAGAUAAAAAAAAAAACAGCUGAUUCAUAAAUUUCCAAAGUUUUCUUUGAAAAUACUUCUGAGAGAAAUAUUCUGAUUCUAAUAUAUAUGUAAUUUAUUUUUGUUAAUAUAAAUUUUGAAAUAAAUUUUAUUUCUGAAAAUAAUUGAAUAUACUAUUAAAAUUUUAAUUUUUUAUUUGCUGGUUCUUGAAUUUUGCACUAUUUUAACUGAUAUUUUUAUUUUCUUUGACCUUUUGGAAUGUUACAAAUAAUAUUUGAAAUGCUAUAAACUCAUGUGUUGUACAUUAUUUAUAAAAAUGAUUAAAUAAUUUCUUAAUGUGUGUAAAGAAUUUUUUGAGUUAAGUUUAUUGCAGUUUGUGACUAGUUAAUAAAAAUUUGAUUGCUCUGUUUAUUUUAUGUGACUGUUUAUUUUAAUCAUCAUCAUCUAAUGUUAGAUACUUGAGGCUAUCUGUUUAAGGAAGUUAAUUUGAAAAUUGGAUAUAAUGGAUACAACUAAGUACUAAAUACUAUAGUAUUUGAAGCACUUGGGUCACACAUUUUUUGGGCAAGAUUAUUAAAUCAUGUUUUUACUAAUAAAUAAUAUUCAUUUAUAUAAAUGUGUAUAAAUUUUUGGUGUGUUAAUCCUAAUAAUUAAAGAAAUUAUUUUUUAAA